RNAcentral lists this ribosomal RNA (406 nucleotides) under uncultured bacterium. Its description in RNAcentral is "partial 16S ribosomal RNA". It matches the Rfam family "Bacterial small subunit ribosomal RNA", at positions 30 to 526 of the family's 1533-position model. The record is from RNAcentral.
AUUGAACGCUGGCGGCAGGCCUAACACAUGCAAGUCGAACGAGUGGCGGACGGGUGAGUAAUGUCUGGGAAACUGACUGAUGGAGGGGGAUAACUACUGGAAACGGUAGCUAAUACCGCAUACCAUCAGAUGUGCCCAGAUGGGAUUAGCUAGUUGGUGGGGUAACGGCUCACAAAGGCGACGCUCCCUAGCUGGUCUGAGAGGAUGACCAGCCACACGUGAACUGGGACACGGUCCAGACUCCUACGGGAGGCAGCGGUGGGGAAUAUUGCACAAUGUGCGCAAGCCUGAUGCAGCCAUGCCGCGUGUAUGAAGAAGGCCUUCGGGUUGUAAAGUACUUUCAGCGGGGAGGCGUUACCCGCAGAAGAAGCACCGGCUAACUCCGUGCCAGCAGCCGCGGUAAUAC